UAAACCUGCAGACACUGAGCUGGAAUUACAGAGAAGUCACAAGAAGGAGAGGAGAAGCAAGUGGGCCAGGUUGAUGCAAGGGGACUCAGGGUCCUGAGGGGUGGUGGUGAUGGGAAGGGGGGUGUGUUCGAGCUAGAAAUAUUAUCUAUUGAUUUAAUAUCAUAAAUCAUGCUGGAGACAGUCUUCUGGGUCCUGAGAGUGAGGGCGCUGGCCUGGGAGUCAGGAAUCCUAGGUUUGAGUCUGGUUCCUUCAUUGCCUUCAGGGUGACUUGGGCAGGUUGGAACCUCUCUGGACCUUGGGUUUUAUUUCUAUAAAACUCAGGGAGAGAGUGUGUGGGGAGGUGCCUGAUGGUUUUCAGGUCCCUCUCAGUGUUAGGAUGCUUGACUCUAUCGACCACCAGUGACAGAUGGCAGCUGGGUUUGGCACUGUAGCCUGGGGUUUAACGCAAUGCCUCUGCCGGGAAGGGAGACUUCUUUACAGUUGGGUGUGGAAAGAAUCAUGGAUGGCUUCAUGGAAGAAGAGGGCCUUAUGUCACAGGUCAGGCUUUGAAAGGAAGAGAGGAUAGAGGUGGAAAGCUUCUACUUCCAAAUGGGAUCAGGUAUUUAUCUUGGGGCCCAGGAAGAACCAUGAUUUCUGGGAUGAGGGGAAAAAAAAAGACCAGCCAUGGUGAGA
RNAcentral lists this long non-coding RNA (672 nucleotides) under Pan troglodytes (chimpanzee). RNAcentral describes it as "long non-coding RNA NONPTRT001806". The record is from RNAcentral. Lineage: Eukaryota; Metazoa; Chordata; Mammalia; Primates; Hominidae.